Molecule: long non-coding RNA, 727 nt
Organism: Pipistrellus kuhlii (Kuhl's pipistrelle)
Lineage: Eukaryota; Metazoa; Chordata; Mammalia; Chiroptera; Vespertilionidae
Exons: 2
Source: RefSeq, a predicted model, not a curated record
GUCUGUUAGUUUUCGGAUUUUAUGUGUCUCCGAGCUGGUGGCACCAAACUCCCACUCUGCCUUCUGGCCGGGAGGGGGAUGUCUUGUUUCUGUUAAGGUUUCUUUUGGAAGUGUCAAGGCAUUGGUCCCUCUGAGUCCCGCUUCUAUUUGCCCUGUCAGUUUUCAUUGUAGUCAGGAUAUAAUGAGAUUUGGGGUCCUUCUCUGGUCAGUUUUCCCUCCACCUUGGAUUAAUCUGAAUCUAAUUGUUUUUUGUAAUCUAACUUACUGACUAUCAAGGUUUAAGUGAUCUGCACUUAGAGAGCAUAGGGUCUUGUGACUUAUUACCUGGCUUUUAGUUGCUCAGCUGUUCUGGCUAUUUGUCUCAAUUUCCUCAUUCCACUUUACCAGGGAAUUUUCCUAGUUUCUCACUAAUCUGUCUCACCAUGGGCUCAUCUACUAGCUUAUGUGGUUACAUCCAAAAAACUGUCAGACAUAGCCCAGCUCACUACCUUCCCCAGUCCUUUUCAGAAGUAAAAUGUUCCAGGAGAGAAUUCAAGGAGCUUGGUGAUGAAAUGAAGUGGAUGAACACAGCAGACACUCAGGUCCUAGGGUGCUGAGAGAGGCACAGUGCCUGCUGUCCUUCCUGGCCACUGGGUAGAACACUCUGCCAUGCUGCCAUGCUGGAAGCUGGCAGGGUGACUGGGAAAAUGGAAAAUUACAAGUGAAGACAUGGAAUAAGCAUGCAAAG